AUGCAUCCCACCCCAGAAACGAUGACAGAGACAGCCCCAGCAGAGCAUAACCCACCCCUGCCAAGAGACAUCAGGGGCUGCUGGGAAAGGAAAUGGGGAAAUGAACAUCAGGGAUGCAACCAACAGCCUCCAACUCAUUUCUCGUUUUACAGAUGGGGAACUGAGACCAGAGAGAGAACAGGCUUGUUCUAAGAUCACAGCAGAGAAGAGCCAGGACCAUGACCCACCCCUUUAAUCUGCAGACUCGAUCCUAUUUCCACUCUAUUCUAAUUCGACCUUGUUCAGGCCAACUCAGGAAAUAUUGAGUGGUCAUCAAUGUGGGUUCAGACCAAUCAAUUUCUCCCCAAACCUUAAUGAACUACUUUGGAAGCAUCACGUUUUAAACACCUCCAACAAAUUUCCAGCCAAAAGAAAACAAACCUCAGUCCCAGAAAUUCUUGCAGCCACAAAGAUCAACCCCAGCACUUCCAUUUCCCCUCUUGGGGCCCCCUAAGAACCAAGUGGCUCCUGUUACUUUUAAGGGGAAAAAUGCAUUCUGGCGUGCAAAUAUUCUCGCAUAUUCAUGCACUCCAAAUCUAAUUUUAGCUGCUCGAGCCUUCAUUAUAAGACGCUCACAUAAUUAAGCAGUUUUCUUCCCAGGGUUUGGAAGCCUGUCUAUUCUUCUCUCUCAUUAACACAUCACUGGGAUUAUCAAGAAUGAGUUUCAGUUUUUUCAAAUUAUAUAUUUUGGUUUUUCCAAAUUGAUCCACAACGGGAGAUGAAAUCCAUGAAAAUUACAUGUUUUAACACAGGUUUGUGCAACUCCACAGCCUUGCUAUUAAAAUUGGAAUCUGUAAACAGGAGUACUCUGUUCUGGUCUGAUUAGCUACAUCUGCCAUGCUUCUCUCCUAAAGCCAAGCCUGUUUUACUCCUUGGCUGGCUGGGACAGCAUCCUCUUUAUGGAGAAGCUGAGAGCUAGAGUUGAGGCUUAACUUGAAGAAGGACAAACAGACUUUCCCAAAAGAACAGACACAUCCCCUUCCCGUGCUUCUCAGGAGCUGCGGGGGUGGGGGGGGGUGGUGACUGCUGAGAACCAUUAGCACAUGGGGCCUUAACAUCUUACUCACCCAACGUCCAGGAUCAGGUACCGAGGUUCAGGUAUCUUGCCAGGUGGACUGACUCAACACAAUGCAUCCCGAUCCCAACAUUCCACUUAUCUACAUCCCUGGCUAAGGUGCACAGUAAAUUUCAAGGCUAUCUGAGCAAGUGGCCCUCCACCUGAAGGAGAGAGGGUCUCUGGGUACAGCAGGGAACAGUCUCAUCAUCUAUCAGGAAGAACAGGCUGGGACCACUGUUCUCCUGAGCCCUGGGGUGGUGGGGGAAGCCCAGGGGGCCAUGCCCUGGCUGUGGUCCUAGUUGGUCCUCCAGCCCCUCCACU
This 1417-nucleotide long non-coding RNA is filed under the name Capra hircus (goat). Its description in RNAcentral is "lncRNA (ENSCHIG00010027883.1)". The record is from RNAcentral. Lineage: Eukaryota; Metazoa; Chordata; Mammalia; Artiodactyla; Bovidae.